This 274-nucleotide long non-coding RNA is filed under the name Manihot esculenta (cassava). RNAcentral describes it as "long non-coding RNA (MESC_LNC013006)". The record is from RNAcentral. Lineage: Eukaryota; Viridiplantae; Streptophyta; Magnoliopsida; Malpighiales; Euphorbiaceae.
GCAAACAAAUCACACCACGGAUGGACUGAUUCAAAAAUCCCUCAACUCCAUGCCCGGCCCUAUUAUGGGCACCACAGGACUUCGUAUUGCCCGGCCCUAUUAUGGGCACCACAGGACUUCGUAUUCAGAAGGCUAAUGAAUCAUCCUAAUGUCCAUCCACUAACAUCUAUCACAACAAUGCAAUGCGGCAUAUUCGUGAAUUCUAAUGCAAACAACCUAUGAUAUGAUCAUGAUGCAUGAAGCAUGAUAAAAGCAUUUCAUUUCUUAAUUUAAA